GACGGAGGAUGCAAGCGUUAUCCGGAAUUAUUGGGCGUAAAGCGUCCGUAGGCGGUUUUGAAAGUCUGUUGUUAAAUCUCACAGCUCAACUGUGAAUGGGCAAUGGAAACUAUGAGACUAGAGAGUGGUAGGGGUAGAGGGAAUUCCUAGUGUAGCGGUGAAAUGCGUAGAUAUUAGGAAGAACACCAGUGGCGAAGGCGCUCUACUGGGCCAUUACUGACGCUGAUGGACGAAAGCUAGGGGAGCGAAAGGG
RNAcentral lists this ribosomal RNA (253 nucleotides) under uncultured bacterium. Its description in RNAcentral is "partial 16S ribosomal RNA". It matches the Rfam family "Bacterial small subunit ribosomal RNA", at positions 524 to 776 of the family's 1533-position model. The record is from RNAcentral.